This 492-nucleotide ribosomal RNA is filed under the name uncultured bacterium. RNAcentral describes it as "partial 16S ribosomal RNA". It matches the Rfam family "Bacterial small subunit ribosomal RNA", at positions 29 to 507 of the family's 1533-position model. The record is from RNAcentral.
AGUGAACGCUGGCGGUAGGCCUAACACAUGCGAGUCGAACGGCAGCACAGUAAGAGCUUGCUCUUACGGGUGGCGAGUGGCGGACGGGUGAGGAAUACAUCGGAAUCUACUUUUUCGUGGGGGAUCACGUAGGGAAACUUACGCUAAUACCGCAUACGACCUACGGGUGAAAGCAGUGGAUCUUCGGACCUUGCGCGAUUGAAUGAGCCGAUGUCGGAUUAGCUAGUUGGCGGGGUAAAGGCCCACCAAGGCGACGAUACGUAGCUGGUCUGAGAGGAUGAUCAGCCACACUGGAACUGAGACACGGUCCAGACUCCUACGGGAGGCAGCAGUGGGGAAUAUUGGACAAUGGGCGCGAGCCUGAUCCAGCCAUACCGCGUGGGGGAAGAAGGCCUUCGGGUUGUAAAGCCCUUUUGUUGGGAAAGAAAAGCAGCAGGUUAAUACCCCGCUGUUCUGACGGUACCCAAAUAAUAAGCACCGGCUAACUUCGUG